AGAACGAACGCUGGCGGCAUGCCUAAUACAUGCAAGUCGAACGAACACUUCGGUGUUAGUGGCGCACGGGUGCGUAACGCGUGGGAAUCUGCCCUUGGGUUCGGAAUAACAGUUGGAAACGACUGCUAAUACCGGAUGAUAUCGAAAGAUCAAAGAUUUAUCGCCCAGGGAUGAGCCCGCGUAGGAUUAGCUAGUUGGUGAGGUAAAGGCUCACCAAGGCGACGAUCCUUAGCUGGUCUGAGAGGAUGAUCAGCCACACUGGGACUGAGACACGGCCCAGACUCCGUACGGGAGGCAGCAGUAGGGAUAGUGGACAAUGGGCGCAAGCCUGAUCCGAGCAAUGACCGCGUGAGUGAUGAAGGCUUAGGGUGUAAAGUCUACUUUACCCGAUA
This 392-nucleotide ribosomal RNA is filed under the name uncultured soil bacterium. RNAcentral describes it as "bacterial SSU rRNA". It matches the Rfam family "Bacterial small subunit ribosomal RNA", at positions 26 to 447 of the family's 1533-position model. The record is from RNAcentral.